RNAcentral lists this ribosomal RNA (465 nucleotides) under Vreelandella stevensii. RNAcentral describes it as "partial 16S ribosomal RNA". It matches the Rfam family "Bacterial small subunit ribosomal RNA", at positions 338 to 795 of the family's 1533-position model. Lineage: Bacteria; Pseudomonadati; Pseudomonadota; Gammaproteobacteria; Oceanospirillales; Halomonadaceae. The record is from RNAcentral.
CCUACGGGAGGCAGCAGUGGGGAAUAUUGGACAAUGGGGGGAACCCUGAUCCAGCCAUGCCGCGUGUGUGAAGAAGGCCCUCGGGUUGUAAAGCACUUUCAGUGAGGAAGAACGCCUGGUGGUUAAUACCCAUCAGGAAAGACAUCACUCACAGAAGAAGCACCGGCUAACUCCGUGCCAGCAGCCGCGGUAAUACGGAGGGUGCGAGCGUUAAUCGGAAUUACUGGGCGUAAAGCGCGCGUAGGUGGCUUGAUAAGCCGGUUGUGAAAGCCCCGGGCUCAACCUGGGAACGGCAUCCGGAACUGUCAAGCUAGAGUGCAGGAGAGGAAGGUAGAAUUCCCGGUGUAGCGGUUAAAUGCGUAGAGAUCGGGAGGAAUACCAGUGGCGAAGGCGGCCUUCUGGACUGACACUGACACUGAGGUGCGAAAUCGUGGGUAGCAAACAGGAUUAGAUACCCCAGUAGUC